This 367-nucleotide long non-coding RNA is filed under the name Salvia miltiorrhiza (redroot sage). Its description in RNAcentral is "long non-coding RNA (SMIL_LNC001830)". Lineage: Eukaryota; Viridiplantae; Streptophyta; Magnoliopsida; Lamiales; Lamiaceae. The record is from RNAcentral.
AUGUGGUCACAUGAAUAAUUAUGUAUUGGUAUUUUAUUAAUGAGUACAUUUCCAUAGUUAUUGUGAUUUAUUUUUAAUCACCCUUCUCACACUAUUACUUUAAUUUCCCUACCAUGUGACUAAAUACCACAAUUUGCCAAGUGUAGAGAUUAUUGAGAGAGUGUAGAGAUUAUUGAGAGAGUGUAGAGAUUAGAGAGAUCAAGGCAUUAAUUGCCAAUAUUUCCUUAAGAUUACAAAACACCUCAAUCCACUCUAAAAUCUUCCAUAAACACAUCCUAGCUACUUAUAUUCAAGAGAAUCAUUGAAGAAAGGCUUCCAAGCUAGAGUGAGAAAAUAUGAGUUUUGGUGAGAAACUUGGGUAAGUGAU